Molecule: long non-coding RNA, 5952 nt
Organism: Triticum dicoccoides
Lineage: Eukaryota; Viridiplantae; Streptophyta; Magnoliopsida; Poales; Poaceae
Exons: 4
Source: RefSeq, a predicted model, not a curated record
UAGAGAAAGCUCAGCGGUACCAAGGGUGCCUUAUAUUUUGACUUUACAUUGUUUAUUUACUGUCACAGUUUCCACAGUACGUACUAAUUGGUGUCAUGGGUCCCACCGGUAUUACUCUCACUUUACCUAUUCUGUAGUCUUCUGAACUUCUCCGUUCUUCUUUCCUCACGCAAGUGAGAACGUUCUUGGCCGAUCCCCUUUCUCCUCUCAUCUUGCUUUUUCUUCUUAGUUAAAAUUUGCUGAUGUUUGAUAGCUCCUAUCAGGUUGCUCUCUUGAUUCGCUGCAAUCAGGAUGCUCGUCCGAACCUGAAGCCACCCUCGCACAUGGUGCUUCAACAGGGUGACUAUCAACGUCGAUUGAGGGUUAGCAGGGCCCAAGGAUCUGCUGCACCAUGGAGGAGGCGAGAGCAUCAAUCUGGACGCUGUCGUUGAUAUUGUCGUCCGUGUAGUUGAUUUCUUCGUGGAUUUCAUCUCCCACAAGCCUGCAACGGCAACAUUGCUCCAAGUUCAACGGCAGGAAAUGGUAAACUGUUCAGAAAUUCCGUUGGAUAUAACAAUUCUGUUUCUGCAUUGAAGGUAGUUGCUUUGCAUACUGUUUCACAGCUUAGAUAAGUUCUCUCAUCACCUUGUAUCUGAUCCAUUAUAUACUCGUUCAUAUCGCGAACUAUUUCAUUUCUUGGACAUAAUAUUGCUCUUUCUUCUAAGUAUUCUCGCUGGCGACACCUCUCCUGCAAAUUAGGAUAUAUGUUCUCUACAAUUGUUUUUUGGCAAUUCCUUUCUUGAGAAGCAUGCCAUUUGAUAUUUUUAUCAAUUCCUCACCUUCUGAUGAUGUAUUUUUUCCAUCACUGAUAUUGAGAAUUCACUCUGCAAAUUCUGCUACCCUUUGUUUCUCCGAUUCAUCAUUUGUUGUGUUGUUCAGCUGCAUGUUCUUUGUUAGCUUCAUUAAAUGAAAGUUCUUCCAAAGAUAAGAUCUUUUAAUGGAUACAAUGACUAUGGUGUGUCUGCUUCCCUAGGAAGGAUCUGGCGGAAGUCCCCUCCUAGAACCAUUUUCAAUCCACCGAGUGGUCUCUCACUGUUGUUCACAUUUUUGUCUUAAUAUAUCCCUUAAGAGACCUAUCUAGUGCCUCAAGCUUCAUCCCAUAGUAUUAGCGACGUCUUUUUUAGUAGGUCUGCCAAGUGUGAACCUUGUUUGAUGUCACAUGUUGACUCUUCUGUAAGGAUUAGGGGGAUGUGGAACCUCGAGUGUGUCAUUCACCCUCCUUGUAGAAGCAGUGUUGCAAUACCAGAUGAUGCCGCUGCUAGUACUAUCUUGCCUUGAGAACACAACUUUGUUGUGAACGCAGCUUUUCAAUAGAGAAGUUACAAUUUUUAUGAUCAAGGUUAGGGGGGAAACUUUCUUUUAAGGUCAGUAUAUCGCAGUUCUAAAAUUCCCCUCAAUGUUUUUCUGUUGUAGAAAAUUUGCUCUUCAAUCGUUCCUUGGGUGCUUUCGUCGAUUCCAAUCAUUGUUGGAAUAACAUCGCUUUUGUAAUGCCUAUAAUAGAUUACAAUAGGAGCACAUAUACUUGUAACUUCAAAAACAUACAUAAUUGCAUUAUUAUAUACAUACCUCUCAAUAAUUUGGUCUGUCUCUGGAAUUUCAGGAGACUUUAGAUGCAUUUGUUGUGCGUAGUAAAUUGUCAGUAAUUUGGGUUCGGGUUUACAGAUAGAGAUUAUAGUUCUCACCACUGAAUUUUGUGACCAAAUUGUAAGUGGCAAUCACUAUUGUAUGUUUGUGAAGAAGACUUUCAUUCACCAUAUUUGUUAAAAUAUCCCCGUAGCGUGAUCUGGAUCUUCUCACCACUGCAUGAAUUUAAUCAUGAAAAGUGAUAUAAAGAUCAUUUGUGUAAUUCAAAAAUAGUUACAGUAAUAUAAUCACUUUAGCAAAAGGACUUCAGUCUCACAGAUGUUUGAUGUUUGCGCCAUGCCCAUCCCUUUAUGUUUUUGCACUUGCUUUAUUGGCUUCAUUGUAGUAAGCAAUCCAGCGACAUCUGCACAUAAUCAUAUUUAAAAAUCUAGUUCACCGAUGCUUGUUCUUCGAAAUGGAUUUUGAUCAAACCUAAGAACUGUUUAUCAAUAUUCACCCUACUCUCCAAGGUAUCACCAUCAGCAAAUUCAAAGUGGUAGUCCAAAAACUUGGAUUUUCCUUCAUCCACUUACUUCACCAUUGUAUCAUAAACAAAACUGAUUUUGAGAUUGUUCUUCUAUGGUCAAUAUUUUUCAUACUCCCAGACUUUGAAGGUCUUAUUUAUGUAUAUGGAGUCAUCUUUAAUUUUUGAUUUAAAUUUAUUGACCAGUUUGCUCCCAAUAGAAGCAUGGAUCGCAUAACCCUACAUAGAGAGAAAACAUUACUACCUCUCUCUCAGUUUACAAGGCGUGCGCGUACCGCUAGGUCGUCAAUUUGACCAACCUAAUACAAGUCAUACUAGAACAUGUAGGCGCGCUUCGCCGCGCCCGUCCAUAUUGACAUUGAAUAAUAAAACUAUCUUAAAAUAAGAGUGAAGUGCAUCAUAGGUUCUCAAACUAUUUCAGACGUGUCACGUAGGUCCUCAAACUAUGAAAAUCAUCAUCUAGAUCUUCAAAGUGCAAUAUGUGUGUCAUCCUGGUCCUCAAACUAUUUCAAAGGAGUCAUGUACGUCAUUGAACUAUUUCAGAAGUGUCACAUAUAUACACACUUAUUACACUUCAAAGAUUUAUGAGGACCUGGAUGACACUUUUCAUAGUUUGAAGACCUACGUGACACCUUCAAAAUAGUUCAAGGUCCUAGGAUGCACUUUACUUUUAAAAUAAUCCCAGCAGUAUUUGAGAAAUUUUGAAUAUGCGAGAGAUAUUUUCAAGAUAAUUGUUAAAGGUGUUAAGCUUUACCAGUAAAUUUUGGUAGGUGCGUCUCAGUGAUGCAGUGAGACCAUAACAAAAUUAGCCUUUUGGAUCUAACUCCCAGUAAACAAAAUAGAUCAACUGUAAACAAUAUUUUGAAUUGACUCAAGUGAAGCUUUAAUCCUCACAGCGUGUCAGGUACACAUAAAAACGUCAGACCCAAAAGUCAUUCUAUGGAUUUUAUUUAUGACGUGGCGACCAUGAUUUGAGCAGUAAAAGAUCUCACAACUGAUGGACUAUUGUUUUAGACAGCCCGGGACGCAUGGUGAUAGUGCAUAGAUUAUCAAACUGGACCUUGUCAAAUUGUUAUAGGAAUGGAAAGUUAGCUUUAUCAAUUUCAUGUCAUCUGGUGAAGUAAACCUAAUAAUAGGUUCACAUGCACAUCUUGGGCAACUCCUUAAGCUGAAAAUUACAACUUCUCUUGAAAUCACUAAACAUAUUUAAUAGACUGCCUGCCUUAUUAUACAUUAUCAAAUUAAGAAAAAUGGCUUCGGCUUCACCGACCGCUUGCAAUACUUGCCUGCAAGUCUCAAAAGCUUAAAAACCAUACAUCAGGAAGUGUCAGCACAGUGCGACAAGCAAUCUUAACAAACUAAAUCCUAAAUCUUGAAAAAGGAACCCAAGAUUGCUAGAACAUGGGCACUCACCCUGCGCUCCACUUGCCAUGUAAUACUUUCACGAGCACUUAUGGCUCGGCAACAUGAACGUUGACUUUCAGAAAUUAAUAGUGAACUUGAACUCUUCAGAAAGGGAAAAAUAGUUCCAGAGAUUAAUUGCACGCACAAUAUGUUCGAGAAUGACACAUCAAAAUCUGAAAAAAGAAGCUAUGAUAGGAAACAAAACUUGUUUUAGUCACAGUGUAAGCAAAGAGCAGUCUGCAAGUGAACUUUUCAUUUAUCAGAGUCCAACAAAUAAAAAAAAGAUGUGUCACAAAAAAGAUAAAUCCACAACUCAUCAGCAGUUGAACACACAAUACUCGUGCCAAGAUGAUUUAAAUUAGACACAAAUCUCACACAAUCAAAAUCAAAUGGCAUUCUCAAAGCUAUGCAUAUUCACAAUUUCUAUACCGAUUCUUGACCUUCCUCAGAAGGAUCUUCUCACAUGGGAAUUAAAACGAAAAUCAUUGUUCCAUCAAUAAAAAGAAAUUUGAAGUUUGACAAAGAACAUGCAGAACACAAAGAACAAUCAGAAGGAGAAGGAGCAAUCACAAGGAGAGAGGGUGGGACUAUAUCCCUGCGCCCACUUCACUCGGAACAACAAACGCGGUGAGAAGGAACAGGAGGCAGAAGCAGCUAGCACCUCCAUCGCCACCCCGAAGCCAUCCAAGCAGUUUGACUUCAGCGAUUUCCAACAGUUUCUGCAACAACAAGCAUCCUAAAAUUACAUUAUGUAGCUGCUACCCUACCAGGCCAUUAUUCCGCCGCCGCCGCCGCCGCCACCAGAUGAUGAGCGUACACAGCUUCGGGAUAAAUCGAUUGAUCGAUCGAAAAAGAGAGAGCACAGGGCACGCCUCGUUUACCAUUCACGAGUGGUGGCCUGGUCGGCCCGAUUAAGGAGAGAGGGCCUAGGUCAACCUGCAGAGUAGCGGCCCGAUUACGGGGUGAAAACAUGGAGACGGGAGUGGUAGGAUGGACCGAGAGAUCUGGACCGUUCUUAAGUGUAAUCGAACGGUUAAGGACGCCAAAUCACUGUAGGAGCUCAUAGGUAGCUUUGUUUUACUGUUUUGUAAUAUUACAAAAAGUAUAUCAAUAUAAACUUUAGAUGUUCUAUUUUCAAAAGAUAUAUUUUUUGUGUUAUAUAGUUUAUAUUAAGGUGAUUAAAUUGACAACCUAGGUAUAUGCGUAGGACUUAUAAACUGAAACGGAGGUAGUAGCAAACUUUGGAAAGGGUAAAUUAAAGAGACAUUAUAUAUGUAAUACUUGCACCUUUUUAUCUAAUAACAUCAUAUCAGCACUGAUGAGUUCAUUAGUCAAUAAGUUAAUUGCAUCCCAAAGUCUUAAAACUUUGACUUUGAUUGUCCAUGUCUCGUUUCCUGUAGUCAAUGCAUUCAACGGUGUGUGUGCCACAAUCUUUGAGGCCCUAAAACUAUAAGAACAUAAUGUUGAUUAGUAAAGUAAGUAAUAUAAUGACAUGCAUGCUCUAUAAAUACAAAAUAUUUCUGGUGCUUUUAGAUUAGCACUGCCUAAAAUGUAAUACAAGUAUUAUUGAUCCAUUAAUAGGUUUGAUCUAUAAUAAUAGUUCUAAUCUAUAAUAUGAACACCAUCUGAUGUGCGAUAUAUGUUUAUCUAUAUCGCAGCAAGCCAUCCCAUUUCCUUCUAUUAUAGCUGUAAGAUUCUAGACUUCUAUUGUAUAUUAUCUUAGGGUGAAAACACUGGAAGAAACAUCCAUGGCAUUAGCCUUCUGUAGAUGAGUCUGUAUGAAAUCAUAGUAGAUGAAUCGAUACAAUUUUAUUGACAGUUGGUCUUAAUUUUUUUUAGAUGGAGCUGCUGGCAUUAUGACAGGAACCCACUUUAGCAUCUAAGGUUGACCAAAUAAGGAAACCAUCUAUAUGGAGCUGUUGGCAUUAUGACAGGAAACAACUAUAGCGUAUGAGGUUGAUCAAACAUGGAAACCAUCUAUAUGGAACUUACUUGAUGUUGCCUGAUUGCUCGACGGAGCUGUCCUAUGGCCGCUGGAGGAAGACAAUUCCGAAGUGCUAAUUCUGAAGUUGAUCUCGAAGUUUUGGUCGCUGGAGGAAGAUGAUUAUAAUUUAUAACCUAAAAUCUAGAGGACAAUGAAACUAUGAGGUCGUGGGGAAGGUCUUAUAUGGAUGGCUAAGUUUCUCAUGUUUGCACGAUGGAAAGAAAGGUUUUUUGGAUUCUAUCUGGACGUAUAUUCUGUUUGGAGAGAUAUGAUAAUUUGGAUUUGUUUAGGGACAUUGGAACUUUUUUCUAGGAUGGCCCCAUCGCUCAUGGCAUGGUCCAUCCUGUAUGCAUGUAAUGGCCCAACUUGUGUGCGUUUUUUUCUAAAUGAUGCAUGAUGCAUGCGUGUUUCUGAUCCA